UGUAUAUGGUUUACAUGGACAACACGCCGGACAUUUCACCUGGGCUCCCCGGACCUAAGGGUAAUACGGGGACUAUGCCAAAGUCCUCAUAAAUCAAAGAGCGGAAUUGCAUUCGUUAGUGUCUAAAUAACAUAAAUUCUCUUUUUCUUUGAAAGUCCUCAUUUACCACUUGACCUGAUUUUGAGUGUAUCCCAGUGUAUCAGAACAGCGACGCCACUGCUGGGUUCUAUAUUGCAGUUUCAUACACAUUUCUGAUACACACGGUGCAUUUUGGCGGGCUGUCUUGUGAUUGGCUGGUUUACGCGCGUGGGCGGGGCCAAACGGAAGUCGGCUGGAAGCUCCGCCCACACAUGCCCGGAGCAUGGCCGAGAGACGUCGCUUGUUUAAAACUUAAAUGGACCACACCUGGGAAGCAGCAGCUAGACGUCAUGGACUUACUAGAGGAUUAAAUACAUACAGGCCCUUGAUGACGAAAUGGCUCCAAAGAUUUGUGGUGCCACAAAUCCCCCAUCCACAAUUGAUGAUACUGAAGAGCUGACCACUGAGAGCAAGUGCAUCCAUACAGCUGUCAGCUACCUGAAUCAGACUAGUCCAGAGCUCGGCCCACUCACCAAGGUUGAAGAGG
Sander lucioperca (pikeperch) is the source of this 625-nucleotide long non-coding RNA. RefSeq lists it as uncharacterized. The transcript has 3 exons. The record is from RefSeq and is a predicted model, not a curated record. Lineage: Eukaryota; Metazoa; Chordata; Actinopteri; Perciformes; Percidae.